Molecule: long non-coding RNA, 754 nt
Filed under: Sus scrofa (pig)
Lineage: Eukaryota; Metazoa; Chordata; Mammalia; Artiodactyla; Suidae
Description: lncRNA (ENSSSCG00040020678.1)
Source: RNAcentral
CCUCCUCUCCCUCCUGACUCUUGCCAGCUGCCCUCCUCCCAGGAUGCUGCCUCCUCCAGGGACCCUGGCCUGAGCACCGCCCACAGACCCGGAUUAGCUUCCUGGGUUUCAUCCUCCACUUGGAACCGAGGCGCUGCAGCAGAGAGGACAGCAGCUCCCCCCACCCCAUUUCUCCUCCCUGUGCCCCUCAGAUAAAGCCAUUUCCCUAGAACAAUCCACCUUCAGUCAGCUCACAGGGACGGGGCUACACCGCAAAUGGCCCCUCAACCCCGGCCUCAAACCUCUGCCCUCAUCUUCUCAGUCAGUCCAGGAGGUCACAGAGCCCCCCACAAGGAGAACCAGCCCCAGGUGGGUGUGAACUCUGUCCUGCCCAGCCUCUAACCCAUCACCCACCCUCCUGUUCCCAUGCAGAGGAUCCUUCCAGAAUCUGGAGGAGAAAUACGAGAACAUUGGGAACAAAGAAUGAUGGCAUCCUCUAUGCCCCCCUCACCCUUCACAACGUGCCCUCACCGGCCGCACCUCCAUGCCCUCCCGCCCACGGGGGCCCCCAGGAAGAGACCCUGUACUCUGCCCUGAAGACCUAAGGACUGGGACGAGUGAUGACCUCCUUAGGGUCAGCCAUGCACGGGGAUCUCACUUCCCCAUAAUCAGAGCCAAACACAGACCGCUCCGAAGCCAGCAGGUGCCGAAGGCCACCGAGGACCUGAGCACCUACCUGCUCCAAUUCCUCUUCGACUGCCCAGCCCUUGACCAC